AGAAUUGUUGAAUAUUAAAGCCACAAUUGUUGACUCCAAUAAAAAUUGUUGAAACUUCAUGAAGAAGUUUUCAAGUUGCAAGUGACCAACUUGAAUUUGAAUUCCUUUCCACCAAUCACAACUUGGAAGUGGCAAAAUUGAAGUGAAACUCUCCUAGCCACCAUAUUUGACUAUUUAAGAAGAAAAUUUCUAUUGAAAUUCUUCUUGUUUUCAUGUAGAUACUUCCAUUAAGGAGGUUAACAAUUUCUAUAAAUAGAGGUAGAUGUGGGGAGAGAGAAUGCAAGAAACUUGAGAGGAAUUAGAGAGUAGAGAGAAGAUUGGGAGUAGAGAGAAAAAAAAAAAUAUUAGUUUCUCCUAAGUAUUACCUCCUUGUAUUCUCAUAUUACAAGAGAGAUUAAUUGUUGUUAUCUCCUUGUAUUUAGAGAGUGUUGUAAUUCUCCUACUAUAGUGAAAUCCUCCUAUACUUGCCCGUGGACGUAGCCUAAAUUGGGUGAACCACGUAAACACUUGUAUCCAUUUUCAACUGCGGUUUCUCAAUUCCAUUUUGUUGUAAAGCCAAAGUCAACCCACGUUAUUUCUAACAAGUGGUAUCAGAGCAAGGUUCUGUGUAGGGUCGUUGUUCAAUCAUAGUAUUGGUGAAAAAUGGCGACAAAAUAUGAGAUUGAAAAGUUCAACGGGAACAAUUUCUCAUUAUGGAAAAUGAGAAUAAAAGCAAUUUUGCGAAAAGAUAAUUGCUUGGCGGCAAUUGGACAAAGGCCUGUGGAGAUCAUUGACGAUACUAAGUGGAAUGAGAUGGAUAGCAACGCAGUUGCUAAUUUGCACCUUGCACUAGCCGAUGGAGUAUUGUCAAGUGUGGCAGAGAAAAAGACAGCCAAAGAGAUAUGUGAUAUGCUGACAAAGCUGUACGAGGCCAAAUCGUUACACAACAAAAUCUUCUUAAAGAGAAAACUUUACACCCUUAGGAUGAUGGAGUCAACUACGGUGACCGACCACAUCAACACCCUUAACACUCUAUUUUCACAGCUCACAUCAAUGGGGCAUAAUAUAGAGGCGGGUGAACGUGCUGAGAUCUUACUUCAAAGUCUACCAGAUUCGUAUGAUCAACUCAUCAUCAACUUGACCAACAACCUUGAAAGUCUAGUCUUCGAUGAUGUUGCAGCUGCCAUUCUUGAAGAAGAAAGUCGGCGCAAGAACAAGGAGGACAGAUUGACAAGUUCGCAUCAGGCAGAAGCUUUGACGAUGAUGAGAGGGAGAUCAACGGAACGUGGCUCAAGUGGGAGUCAUAAUCGGAGAAGAUCAAAAUUCAGGAGUAAGAAAAAUGCCAAGUGUUAUUACUGUGGCAAGAAAGGGCACUUAAAAAGGGAUUGUUGGAGUCUCAAGAAAAAUGAAGAAGACAAAGGAAAAGGUCCUGAGACUUCAAAAUCUCAAAGUUGUGUAGCAAGUACCUCAGAUGAUGGUGAAAUUUUAUACAGCGAGGCAACUACAGUUGUUGAAGGCAGAAAGAAAUUUUUCGAUGUAUGGCUUAUGGAUUCAGGAGCUACAUGGCACAUGACACCAAGGAGGGAAUGGUUCAAUCAGUAUGAACCUAUCCCAAGAGGAUCUGUGUUUAUGGGAAAUGAUCAUGCCUUGGAGAUCGCUGGUAUUGGUACCAUCAAAUUGAAAAUGUAUGAUGGUACAGUUCGCACUAUCCAGGAGGUACGACACGUAAGAGGCUUGACGAAAAAUUUGUUGUCUCUAGGGUAAUUGGACAGCAUUGGAUGCAAAACCCAUAUACAAGAUGGAAUCAUAAAGAUUUUCAAAGGCGCGCUUGUGGUGAUGAAAGCAGAAAAGGUAGCUACAAAUUUGUACAUGCUUAAAGGAAAAACACUACAAGAAUGAGAAGCAUCAGUUGCAUCAACAUGUUCAACAGAAGAAUUAACAAUGAUGUGGCAUCGCAAGCUUGGCCACAUGUCGGAACGUGGUUUGAAAAUUCUCUCAAAACAAAAGCUUCUUCCAGGGCUCAAAACGGUUUCAUUACCCUUUUUCUGAGCAUUGUGUUACUAGUAAGCAGCACAGAUUAAAGUUUAGCACUUCCACUGCUAGAAGUAAAGCUAUCUUGGAGCUGGUCCAUUCCGAUGUUUGGCAAGCACCAGUUAUAUCCCUAGAAGGUGCAAGAUACUUUGUAUCUUUUAUUGAUGAUUACUCCAGGAGAUGUUAGGUAUAUCCAAUCAAGAGGAAGGCGAAUGUAUUCGCAGUCUUCAAAAUAUUCAAAGCGCGUGUGGAACUUGAAUCUGAAAAGAAGAUCAAGUGUCUAAGGACUGACAAUGGAAGAGAAUAUACUGGUGAUGAAUUUGAUAACUUCUGUCAAUAAGAAGGUAUCAAGAGGCAGUUCAUUGUGGCAUACACUCCACAGCAAAAUGGAAUGGCAGAGCGGAUGAACAGAACAUUGUUAGAAAGAACAAGGGCAAUGUUGAGAACUGCAGGGCUAGCCAAGUCAUUCUGGGCAGAAGCAGUCAAAACUGCCUGUUAUGUGAUCAAUCGGUCAUCAUCAACCGCAAUUGAUCUGAAGACGCCUAUGGAAAUGUGGACUGGCAAACCAGUUGAUUAUUCUCACAUACAUGUGUUUGGAAGUCCUGUGUACGUUAUGUACAACACCCAAGAAACAUCAAAGCUAGAUCCAAAAUCCAGAAAAUGUAUUUUCUUAGGGUAUGCUGAUGGAGUGAAGGGUAAUCGCUUGUGGGAUCCCACUGUCCACAAGGUUAUCAUCAGCAGAAAUGUGAUAUUUGCGGAAGGCAAAAUACAGGAAAAAGGAAAUGAUAGCACUUCAAAAGAAAAACUAGAGACUGCUACAGUCGAAGUUGGAGAUGAACGAGAUGUUAUAAAUUCUCCUGAAGCAACACUAGAGCAUGAAGAACAAGAACAAGCUGAGUCUAGUGCUCCAGAUGUUCGACGAUCAACACGGGAGAGAAGAGAACCGGCUUGGCACUCAGAUUAUAUUAUGGAGGGCAAUGUUGCAUACUGCUUACUGACAGAAGAUGGAGAGCCAUCAACUUUCCAUGAGGCUAUAAAUAGUCAAGAAGUUUCUCUGUGGAUGGCAACAAUGCAAGAAGAAAUUGAAGCUCUUCAAAAGAACAAGACAUGGGAUCUCGUUCCACUACCACAAGGAAGGAAGGCCAUUGGAAGUAAAUGGGUCUACAAGAUCAAACGAGAUGGCAAUGACCAAGUGGAGAGGUAUCGUACGAGACUGAUGGUGAAGGGAUAUGCUCAGAAAGAAGGCAUUAACUUCAACGAAAAAUUUUCUCCUGUGGUUCGACUCACAACAAUUCGAGUAAUCCUGGCGGUGUGUGCUACAUUUGACUUACACCUGGAGCAGUUAGAUGUGAAAACUGCAUUUCUUCAUGGAGAACUUGAAGAAGAAAUUUAUAUGCUCCAACCAGAAGGUUUUGAAGAAAAAGAAAAAGAGAGCUUGGUUUGCAGGUUGAACAAAUCUCUGUACGGUCUCAAACAGGCGCCGAGAUGUUGGUAUAAGAGAUUUGAUUCCUUCAUUAUGAGCCUUGAAUACAACAGACUCUGUUCAGAUCCGUGUGCAUACUACAUGAGAUUUGGUGAUAAUGAUUUCAUUAUCUUGCUGUUGUAUGUUGACGACAUGUUAGUAGCAGGCCCCAACAAAGAUCGUAUUGAAAACUUGAAGGCACAGUUGGCUAGGGAAUUUGAAAAGAAGGACUUGGGACAGGCAAACAAGAUUCUAGGAAUGCAAAUUUACCGAAACAGAAAUAAUAGAAAGAUUUGGCUUAGUCAGAAAAACUACUUGAAGAAAAUCUUGCGUCGCUUCAAUAUGCAAGAUUGUAAGCCAAUUUCUACCCCUCUUCCUAUUAAUUUCAAGUUAUCCUCAAGUAUGAGCCCUAGCAGCGAAGCAAAGAGGAUGGAGAUGUCUCGAGUGCCGUAUGCAUCAGCAGUGGGUAGUUUGAUGUUUGCUAUGAUUUGUACAAGACCAGACAUUGCACAAGCAGUGGGAGCGAUUAGUCGAUACAUGGCAAAUCCUAGUAAAGAGCAUUGGAGUACUGUGAAGAGGAUCCUGAGAUAUGUCAAGGGUACCUCAAAUGCUACAUUAUGUUAUGGAGGAUCAGACUUUAUUGUCAGAGGCUAUGUUGAUUCAGAUUAUCCAGGUGAUCUUGAUAAAAGCAAAUCCACCACAGGAUAUGUGUUUACUCUUGCUGGAGGAGCUGUAAGCUGGGUUUCGAAACUGCAGUCUAUCGUGGCUACUUCUACUACAGAGGCAGAAUACGUGGCAGCUACACAAGCCAGUAAAGAGGCAAUUUGAUUGCAAAUGAUAAUGGAGGAGCUCGAACACAAACUAGAGAAGAUUGCUCUAUUUUGUGAUAGUCAGAGCGCUUUGCAUUUGGCAAAGAAUCCAGCAUUUCAUCAGAGGACAAAGCAUAUUCGAGUUCAAUAUUACUUUGUUCGAGAGAAGGUGGAGGAAGGAAGUGUGGAUAUACAGAAGAUCCAUACAGCAGAUAACCUAGCAGAUAUGUUAACAAAGCCGAUCGGAACUGACAAGUUUAGAUGGUGUCGAUCCUCCAUCAGCCUAGCAGAAACGUAAGUAGCAUGGAAAAGGCAAGUAUGAGAAGGAUGAAGUGGUCAACAAAAGUGACUUUAAGUGGGAGAAAUGUUGAAUAUUAAAGCCACAAUUGUUGACUCCAAUAAAAAUUGUUGAAACUUCAUGAAGAAGUUUUCAAGUUGCAAGUGACCAACUUGAAUUUGAAUUCUCUUCCACCGAUCACAACUUGGAAGUGGCAAAAUUGAAGUGAAACUCUCCUAGCCACCAUAUUUGACUAUUUAAGAAGAAAAUUUCUAUUGAAAUUCUUCUUGUUUUCAUGUAGAUACUUCCAUUAAGGAGAUUAACAAUUUCUAUAAAUAGACGUAGAUGUGGGGAGAGAGAAUGCAAGCAACUUGAGAGGAAUUAGAGAGUAGAGAGAAGAUUGGGAGUAGAGAGAAAAAAUAUAUAUUAGUUUCUCCUAAGUAUUACCUCCUUGUAUUCUCAUAUUACAAGAGAGAUUAAUUGUUGUUAUCUCCUUGUAUUUAGAGAGUGUUGUAAUUCUCCUACUAUAGUGAAAUCCUCCUAUACUUGCCCGUUGACGUAGCCUAAAUUGGGUGAACCACGUAAACACUUGUGUCCAUUUUCAGCUGCGGUUUCUCAAUUCCAUUUUGUUGUAAAGCCAAAGUCGACCCACGUUAUUUCUAACAAGAAUCAGGACCCCUAACACAGCAUCUUCAAGUCCUAAUGACUUGGCCUCCUUGGAAACAACUAGUUCAAACCUGACUCUGGCAUGGGUCCCCUCCAGUGUGUUCAUUGGCUUCGGCAUGGCCUGCAGAACCCCUUCAGUUCUCUUCCUACAGAUUUCACUUCCAUUAAUGGCAUUGACGUGGGUUUU
This 5411-nucleotide long non-coding RNA is filed under the name Olea europaea (common olive). Its description in RNAcentral is "long non-coding RNA (OEUR_LNC007094)". The record is from RNAcentral. Lineage: Eukaryota; Viridiplantae; Streptophyta; Magnoliopsida; Lamiales; Oleaceae.